CAAUUGGCUUGUUCGAAGACUACAAAGCGAUAAUACAUAUAUAUAUAGUGGCGUGGUUCAAAUAUAAGCCAAUAGCAAUUUUUGUUACGACGGUCACUGAUCUGCGUAGCUCUCUAGCGAUUUCAGUAACUUUUCGUGCAAUCACAACU
Scaptodrosophila lebanonensis is the source of this 149-nucleotide small nucleolar RNA. Lineage: Eukaryota; Metazoa; Arthropoda; Insecta; Diptera; Drosophilidae. The record is from RefSeq and is a predicted model, not a curated record.